RNAcentral lists this ribosomal RNA (499 nucleotides) under uncultured bacterium. Its description in RNAcentral is "bacterial SSU rRNA". It matches the Rfam family "Bacterial small subunit ribosomal RNA", at positions 28 to 517 of the family's 1533-position model. The record is from RNAcentral.
GAUGAACGCUAGCUACAGGCUUAACACAUGCAAGUCGAGGGGCAGCAUGAACAUAGCUUGCUAUGUUUGAUGGCGACCGGCGCACGGGUGCGUAACACGUAUCCAAUCUGCCCGUUACUCGGGGAUAGCCUUCUGAAAGGAAGAUUAAUACCCGAUGGCAUGUAUUUCCGGCAUCGGAGAUACAUUAAAGAUUUAUCGGUAACGGAUGGGGAUGCGUACGAUUAGCUGGUUGGCGGGGUAACGGCCCACCAAGGCGACGAUCGUUAGGGGUUCUGAGAGGAAGGUCCCCCCACACUGGAACUGAGACACGGUCCAGACUCCUACGGGAGGCAGCAGUGAGGAAUAUUGGUCAAUGGUCGAGAGACUGAACCAGCCAAGUAGCGUGAAGGAUGACUGCCCUACGGGUUGUAAACUUCUUUGUUUGGGAAUAAAUGAUACUACGUGUAGUAUUUGCAUGUACCUUACGAAUAAGCAUCGGCUAAUUCCGUGCCAGCAGCCG